CAGAGAGCUGUGAUAGUUUUUACAAUCUCAACUGCCUACUGUUUGGUCUGACUGUCAAGAAGCGGCAGGAACUCUCGGCCCCACCCCGACCCAGGGAUCGAACUCAGGACCUUGCACUAGUGAGGCAGGCACGGCACCACUGAGCUAAAUCCCCUGCCCCAGUGCUGUCCUGUCUUGGAACCUGCAGACUAUGGACUGAAACCUCUACAAACUGGAAAACAGCAUGCUUGAAGAUGAGACCAUGUGGAACAGAAUGAAACCCAGGUAUCUGCACUGUGGCCCCAGAUAUGAGAGGCACUUGGCCAAGAUAACUGCAGAUGUACAAAUUUUCAGAUAAUUCAGUCUGUGGUCAGCUGGAUCCAAGGUGGGAACAUCAUGGCAGCUGAGCAUGGUUUCAUAAGGUUGAACAGGUGACCCGGCGGGUGCGCGACCUCCUGGACUGUGUGACAAACACCCAG
Long non-coding RNA from Fukomys damarensis (Damara mole-rat), 458 nucleotides. RefSeq lists it as uncharacterized. The transcript is spliced from 5 exons. The record is from RefSeq and is a predicted model, not a curated record. NCBI's taxonomy places the organism in Eukaryota, Metazoa, Chordata, Mammalia, Rodentia, Bathyergidae.